AACGAACGCUGGCGGCAUGCCUAACACAUGCAAGUCGAACGAGACCUUCGGGUCUAGUGGCGCACGGGUGCGUAACGCGUGGGAACCUGCCUUUAGGUUCGGAAUAACUCAGAGAAAUUUGAGCUAAUACCGGAUGAUGUCUUCGGACCAAAGAUUUAUCGCCUUUAGAUGGGCCCGCGUUGGAUUAGCUAGUUGGUAGGGUAAAGGCCUACCAAGGCGACGAUCCAUAGCUGGUCUGAGAGGAUGAUCAGCCACACUGGGACUGAGACACGGCCCAGACUCCUACGGGAGGCAGCAGUGGGGAAUAUUGGACAAUGGGCGAAAGCCUGAUCCAGCAAUGCCGCGUGAGUGAUGAAGGCCUUAGGGUUGUAAAGCUCUUUUACCCGAGAUGAUAAUGACAGUAUCGGGAGAAUAAGCUCCGGCUAACUCCGUG
This 433-nucleotide ribosomal RNA is filed under the name uncultured bacterium. Its description in RNAcentral is "partial 16S ribosomal RNA". It matches the Rfam family "Bacterial small subunit ribosomal RNA", at positions 29 to 507 of the family's 1533-position model. The record is from RNAcentral.